This 416-nucleotide ribosomal RNA is filed under the name uncultured bacterium. Its description in RNAcentral is "bacterial SSU rRNA". It matches the Rfam family "Bacterial small subunit ribosomal RNA", at positions 501 to 916 of the family's 1533-position model. The record is from RNAcentral.
GCCCGUGGCAGUCGCACGGUAAUACGGAAGGUGCAAGCGUUGUUCGGAAUUAUUGGGCGUAAAGCGAGUGUAGGCGGUUUGAAAAGUCGGAUGUGAAAGCCCAGGGCCCAACCCUGGAAUUGCAUCCGAUACUGUCAGGCUAGAGUCCCGGAGAGGGUGGCGGAAUUCCCGGUGUAGGGGUGAAAUCCGUAUAUAUCGGGAGGAACACCAGUGGCGAAGGCGGCCACCUGGACGGUGACUGACGCUGAGACUCGAAAGCGUGGGUAGCAAACAGGAUUAGAUACCCUGGUAGUCCACGCCGUAAACGAUGGGUACUAGGUGUCGCGGGUAUUGACCCCUGCGGUGCCGAAGCUAACGCAUUAAGUACCCCGCCUGGGGAGUACGGCCGCAAGGCUAAAACUCAAAGAAAUUGACGG